GACGAACGCUGGCGGUGUGCUUAACACAUGCAAGUCGAAUGAGUGGAGAACGGGUGAGUAAUACGUGAGUAACCUGCCCUAUUUUUGGGCUAAGCCUUGGAAACGGGGUCUAAUAACGGAUAAAGGGGGAUGGGCUCGCGGCCUAUCAGCUUGUUGGGGGGGUGAUGGAAUACCAAGGAGGUGACGGGUAGCCGGCCUGAGGGGGUGACCGACCCUAUUGGGUCUGAGAUACGGCCCGGACUCCUACUGGAGGCAGCUGUGGUGGAUAUUGCACUGUGGGCGAAAGCCUGAUGCAGCGACGCCGCGUGGGGGAUGAAGGCUUUCGGGUUGUAAACCUCUUUCGCGAUCGAACGGUUAGGUGGAGAAGAGGCGCCAGCUAAGUACGUGCCAGCAGACGCGGUGAUUG
Molecule: ribosomal RNA, 406 nt
Filed under: uncultured bacterium
Lineage: Bacteria
Description: partial 16S ribosomal RNA
Rfam family: Bacterial small subunit ribosomal RNA
Source: RNAcentral